Molecule: ribosomal RNA, 206 nt
Filed under: Clostridioides difficile
Lineage: Bacteria; Bacillati; Bacillota; Clostridia; Peptostreptococcales; Peptostreptococcaceae
Description: partial 23S ribosomal RNA
Rfam family: Bacterial large subunit ribosomal RNA
Source: RNAcentral
UACUACCGAAGCUACGGCAUCAGUAAUGAUGGGUAGGGGAGCUUCCCAUACGGGUUGAAGCAUGACCGUAAGGACAUGGGGACAGUAUGGGAGUGAGAAUGUUGGCAUGAGUAGCGAGAUGUGGGUGGGAAUCCCACAGGCCGUAAACCCAAGGUUUCCAGGGGAAGGUUCGUCCGCCCUGGGUUAGUCGGGACCUAAGCUGAGGC